Molecule: long non-coding RNA, 1022 nt
Organism: Bactrocera neohumeralis
Lineage: Eukaryota; Metazoa; Arthropoda; Insecta; Diptera; Tephritidae
Exons: 2
Source: RefSeq, a predicted model, not a curated record
CAGGUGAAUAGAUCGUUUAAGUGCACGCAAGGUUUAUAGCAACAAUUCUAUACAAAACAUACAUACAUAAGUAUGUAGAGAUAUGUAAAUGUAGCAGUGCACAGUGAAGAGAUUAAUACAUUUAUAUGAGAAUGAUAGAUUUGAUUUGGGGUUCGCAUGGAAGAAAAUAUUUUUUUAAUUGUUCGCAACGUUUCACCGCCAAAACUCAAUUAAUAACUCAUUAAUUCACCCACUGACCGCUAAGUACCGUCGCACAGAAUACCGGACACGUUGUUGAGCGGUUGACAAAACAUCGGCGAAUGAGUUUGGCUACGAGAAAAAUUUAUGAUUUCGAAUAUUUCAACACAAAAAACUAUAUACUACAUCAAAAAAGAAAAUUAAAAGCGAAAAAUCACACACACCAAAUACCAAAUGCGAUACAUACGGAUAAAUGCCAAAACAAUAACAAUAAUAAUGCGCGAGCAACGCUAACCAAAUCAUAACAGAAAUACAUAAAAACAAUAAAAGCAACAAUUACAACAAUAACAAUAGCGAAACAACUCAAAAAUCUUCACGAAGAGCCGCAAUCGCACGCUUGCAGAGCAGCAAUGCAGCAUCCCAUAGCAAUUGCUGCCAACUAUUGUAGCAAACAACUAACAACAACAAUGCCACCAGCAAAGGCACUAACCGCUCGCAACUACAUGUGUACGCCACAAUAGCCAAGUAACAACACAAUUAUUGGCGGCCAAUACACAAGAGUGAAAAAUCGAAAAGCCACAACAACAACAACAACAACAGGCGACAUAGACACAUACAAUAGCAAAAAGCAAUGAGAAAAAGCGUCAAGUGAACUUGAAGUAUCGACGCGUUUGUGGGAGAGGGUGGUGAGGUCAAGUGUAUGUGUUUAUGUGAAAAAGCAACAACAACAACGACAACAAUGUAAGUGAUAUUGAAAAGCCGUCGAAAAUUGUUUACAUCCCCGAUUGUAAUGCACAGAUGCGCUGAAAGUAUUCAUUAAUAAUAAUAACAACAAUAGCAACAAA